This 253-nucleotide ribosomal RNA is filed under the name uncultured bacterium. Its description in RNAcentral is "partial 16S ribosomal RNA". It matches the Rfam family "Bacterial small subunit ribosomal RNA", at positions 524 to 776 of the family's 1533-position model. The record is from RNAcentral.
UACGGAGGGAGCAAGCGUUACUCGGAAUUAUUGGGCGUAAAGGGCGCGUAGGCUAUUUGACAAGUCUCGUGUGAAAGCCCAGGGCUUAACUCUGGAAGUGCAUGAGAAACUGUUAGAUUUGAGUUCCGGAGAGGAAGGCAGAAUUCCCGGUGUAGCGGUGAAAUGCGUAGAUAUCGGGAGGAAUACCAGUGGCGAAGGCGGCCUUCUGGACGGAUACUGACGCUGAGGCGCGAAAGCCAGGGGAGCAAACGGG